CCGGCUUCUGGAUUAGAACCCGAAUCUCUCCGCACCUAGAACUUCAGAGUUGUGAGGGUUCAAGCUGGCUCAGCCUCUGCUUUGGCUUCUAAUGGAGAUCAAAGAAGCCUAACAGAUCGAGUCCCUAAAGACUAGGAAGAGAUAAUUCUGAGCUUGCCAGCUUCUCAACUGGUUGACUCUUCCCCAGAAGAGGUGCUAGCCAAG
This 204-nucleotide long non-coding RNA is filed under the name Elaeis guineensis (African oil palm). RNAcentral's name for it is "long non-coding RNA (EGUI_LNC028287)". Lineage: Eukaryota; Viridiplantae; Streptophyta; Magnoliopsida; Arecales; Arecaceae. The record is from RNAcentral.